RNAcentral lists this long non-coding RNA (628 nucleotides) under Anser cygnoides (Swan goose). Its description in RNAcentral is "lncRNA (ENSACDG00005002154.1)". Lineage: Eukaryota; Metazoa; Chordata; Aves; Anseriformes; Anatidae. The record is from RNAcentral.
GUUGCCUCGGGAGUACCGAGUUACUGAGGUUCAGACUUUCUUCAGAAAUGCCGAGGGGAGCUGAACAGCAGUUGAAAACGCAGAUAAAGAAAUACAUGGACCGUGCAAACAAAAAUCCUCACAUCAGAACGCAAGGGCAGCCUGAGCUAAACAGCUGGCUGGAUUUGCAUGAAAAUGGACUGCCCUUUUUCAUUUGUUUGUUCUUUGGAAAUUACAGUAGGAAAUCACCACAGGGAAUUUCUCCCACUUAGCUCGGCUCCCAGAGGAGUUGAAGGCUAUUAUGAAAUCGAACUUCCUAGGAGCUCACCAGGGAUAUUUUUAGUCUAUAAUUCAAGCCUUUGCCUGAAGGGUUUGUCUUGUGAUCAGCCAUCAACUGACCAGCUCCAGUGCUGAGGCUGCUGCACCCCUCUUGUCUGGUCGGCCACCAGCCCCAGCGAUGCUGCUCCUGGGGCUUUUCCCCAGAUUUAGACCAGAGCAAAACCUGGAGUCUCUCAGGGCUAUGAAGAGGAUUUUUGGUGCUGUGCGCAUGGUGGAGCUGAAGACCUGGUGAUGUCCUCAUGCACAGACACAAGGUAAAGCUGGCAAAAAGCCCUUGUAAAGGCAUGGGCUAAGAACUGGGCUAAACGUC